GAUUCAAUAAAUGGACAUCAGACACCAACGAGGACAGCUAUCAUGAUGACUUCUAUGGAACAUGCGGAGAUAAUACGAAGACCAUGCGAUGGAUGUGGGAAUAUUUUUGAAUUGAAAGCAAAAACAGUUUUAUUCAUGAGCAUUGUCGCAUUUGGGGUUUUGGCUUUUAUCGUCUUAAUAGUGUAUGCUUACACCUUUUCCAAAACACCUACAAUAGAAUCUGAAAGACUCCAGCAUGGAACUGAAAAUAACGAGGACAGUAUUUAUGAAAAAAUCUGAUUCGGCGCAUUUCUUAAAAUUGCUGUUUGGUGUUCGUGUUUUUUGACCUCAUUUUAGACGAAGAGAUGCUACUAACAAAUAUGUAAAUACCACAGGAGCUUCAACAGACUAGAUUGUUUGUAUAUUGUAUUUACAUGUAGCUAUGGACUAUUCCGUUUAUCUGAUCAAGAUAUAGGACUCACGGUAUGUGUGUUCAUCAAAUUGAGAUGCUUACACCUCCUAUUCACCUAAUUCCACAUCAAGCUUUUCCAGAGAACUGCGUUUUCAUACUCUUAAUUUUGUAUGCUUUAUAGGCUUUCUGAUGUGAUCACUUUCCCUUAUCUUUAUUUGUUUUUAUUUAACACAGCGUAUAACAAUCUUUAUCUGUGAAACAAUGAAGCAAAUUACUAAAAUUCGAAACAGUUUAAUUUCCAUUUAAAUUCAUUUCAAUCAAAUCUUAUCAUCGUGAAUGUUAGAUUUACGUGGAAAGACAGAGAGAUGAGCCGGAUGAAAAAUGAAGAAAAAGAACAAUAAUUGAUCACAUCAACCUCAUAAAGAUGACACACUUAAGAGUAGGGUAAACAAAGUCCCGUGGACACAUCGGAGGUGGGAUGAGUUGCUUACGAGGAGUAACCAUUCCGUGUUCAUAAGUCACAUCAACCGUUACUCAUUUACCUUUUGUUAUGUGGAGUAGAUGAAUUAAGACAAAAGACUUCAAAUCAGCGUUCUAUGUUUUUUUUUAAUUCCUUAUUGUAAUAAUACCAUUACACCAACAACACUAUCAGUUCUAUGUGAUUUGUUUCUAACCUAUUUUGUAACGUAAAAAUAACCCGAUACUAUAUUACGAAAAUUUUUCUUGCCUUAAAAAUUCAUUCCCGAUUAACAAACUGUUUCAAUGGAUGAUGACAAACGUGGGAGAGACUUUUGUGUCCGACAAUUUCAUUAAUAUUGAUUAUUCCAUAUGUUUGGUUUUCCUUCAAUUCUUCAAGAUUUCGUAUACAUUGUACCAAUAUCAAAGUCCCAGCAUGUCAUUUUUUUCUUCAUCUGCAGUAGCCUAGUAGUUAGUGUGCUCACAUAGCAAAGAGGAUUUUCGACUCCUCUGCCGUGUGAAACAAGUUAUGUUCAACAAGGCAAACGUCAACGUCCCGUUCCCAAUUGCAGGACAUUAGAAGGCCAAAUCACAUGUCACAGAUCUAACCUUUAACAAGGAGGUCCCGUGUUAAGGUAGGCGUUGACAUGAUAACGAACCGUCACUGCUAGGGUCAUACGUCGCAUGCAUUAGUCAAAAUGAACAUUUCCAUAAAAAUCGUCGUUUGUAUCAGAGUCUUUCUCUGCAUAGGGGAUGUCAAUUACUUUCUUAACGUUUUUAUUGUAUUAAUGUAUUGUGUUAGUACAGUAAUUUUUGUCGACAGGUAAUGACGGUUUGAGUUAAUAUCCAUACAUUUAUAUGCCCUGCAUUCCGCAAGAUGAGAAGGCGGUGAUUAAUAUUAUCAUAUACAUGCAAAAAAUAAAACAACAUUGUUUUUAUUCAUUUUAUAUCACAGAAUCUCUAAGCUAAAAUAUCAAUCUAGAAAAGCCAAUUGCCAGGGAAGGGACCCUGACUAACCCUUCAAAGGUAUCAAUAAAAAUCGUUAAACACAACGCUCGAUGUUGAAAAAUAUAAUCUGUUUCUGGGAUGUUGAACUCAAAAGGGGAUUAUCUUGUAAAUGUAUGCCCGCCAUCGUUCCCCCAUAUGCUUAUAUGCUUAACUUUACGAUUAUAUUACCGCUUCAAAUUGUUUGUAAAUAUUAUGUAAACGUUGUGUAAAUAUAUUGUGGUGGAAAUUAUUACUCGAUUAAAAUGUUGUUGCUCAU
Molecule: long non-coding RNA, 2111 nt
Organism: Ostrea edulis (European flat oyster)
Lineage: Eukaryota; Metazoa; Mollusca; Bivalvia; Ostreida; Ostreidae
Exons: 2
Source: RefSeq, a predicted model, not a curated record